Oncorhynchus tshawytscha (Chinook salmon) is the source of this 1317-nucleotide long non-coding RNA. The record is from Ensembl. Lineage: Eukaryota; Metazoa; Chordata; Actinopteri; Salmoniformes; Salmonidae.
UGUUUAUCUUCCUCGCUCUCCUCUUUCUCCUCCUGUUUAUCUUCCUCGCUCUCCUCUUUCUCCUCCUGUUUAUCUUCCUCGCUCUCCUCUUUCUCCUUCUGUUUAUCUUUCUCACUCUCCUCUUUCUCCUUCUGUUUAUCUUUCUCACUCUCCUCUUUGUCCUUCUUGCUCUCCUCUUUCUCAACCCCCCACACGCUUUCUUUCUUGCCCCCCUUCUUCCCCAGGUCUCUCUUCUUCCCAUACAGCCUCUCCUGGAUCCUGUCGUUCAGUCGGCCCAACUCUUCCACCCCCAGAUCCAGCCCAACAGUCUGCAGCAGGCUCUGGAUCUGUCCGUACUUCUGCUCAUCCUCAGGCCUCAUUUUCCUCUUCUCCUCCACCUGUGGAGACAUGGACUUAAGCCUCUCUUUCCUCUUCUCCUCAACAGGUGGAGACAUGGACUUAAGCCUCCCUUUCCCCUUCUCCACAACAGGUGGAGACAUGGACUUAAGCCUCUCUUUCCUCUUCUCCUCAACAGGUGGAGACAUGGACUUAAGCCUCUCUUUCCUCUUCUCCUCAACAGGUGGAGACUUGGACUUAAGCCUCCCUUUCCUCUUCUCCUCAACAGGUGGAGACUUGGACUUAAGCCUCCCUUUCCCCUUCGGCUCAACAGGUGGAGACUUGGACUUAAGCCUCCCUUUCCUCUUCUCCUCAACAGGUGGAGACUUGGACUUAUGCCUUCCUUUCCCCUUCGGCUCAACAGGUGGAGACUUGGACUUAAGCCUCCCUUUCCUCUUCUCCUCAACAGGUGGAGACUUGGACUUAUGCCUUCCUUUCCCCUUCGGCUCAACAGGUGGAGACUUGGACUUAAGCCUCCCUUUCCUCGUCUCAUCCACCUGUGUAGACUUGGGCUUUUUGUUUUUUGGGCUAUCCAUAGCCUGGAUGAAGCCUAAGCUAAGGCUAUGUUGCCCAAUCUCUCCUCCUCCAUUUUGUAAGAGACUGCGGUGCUGUGGCAGAACGUUACCUGCUUGGGCCACUUGACGCAACAGAUCCCCAAACGGAUUGGGCUGAACCCCGAGUAGUGUGGGCUGACCCCAGAGUAUAUUGAACGAACCUUGUGGGAACUCAUCAAAUCGGGAGCGCCUUUUGCGAGAGGGCACCUUCCUCUCAUUCUUAGAGUUGGUCUCGGGCUGGCCAUGAAGUGGAGGCGGCUGACCUUGUGGCAGCUCCUCUCCCAUAGAGGGUAAAUCCUUGAAAUUGUUGACAAUCUUUGAGAGCCUGUCGAUGUCCACCCCUUUGUUGAGGACAUCGAGGAAGUGCUGGAAGCCCUUGGCUGCUUUG